GACGAACGCUGGCGGCGUGCUUAACACAUGCAAGUCGAACGGUGAACGAGGGAGCUUGCUCCCUCCGGAUCAGUGGCGAACGGGUGAGUAACACGUGAGCAAUCUGCCCCGAACUCUGGGAUAAGCGUUGGAAACGACGUCUAAUACCGGAUACGACGCGGGAGGUCAUCCUCCCCGCGUGGAAAGAACUUCGGUUCGGGAUGAGCUCGCGGCCUAUCAGCUUGUUGGUGAGGUAACGGCUCACCAAGGCCACGACGGGUAGUCGGCCUGAGAGGGUGACCGGCCACACUGGGACUGAGAGACGGACCAGACUCCUACGGGAGGCAGCAGUGGGGAAUCUUGCACAAUGGGCGCAAGCCUGAUGCAGCAACGCCGCGUGAGGGAAGACGGCCUUCGGGUUGUAAACCUCUUUUAGCAGGGAAGAAGCGAAAGUGACGGUACCUGCAGAAAAAGCACCGGCUAACUACGUG
This 470-nucleotide ribosomal RNA is filed under the name uncultured bacterium. Its description in RNAcentral is "partial 16S ribosomal RNA". It matches the Rfam family "Bacterial small subunit ribosomal RNA", at positions 28 to 507 of the family's 1533-position model. The record is from RNAcentral.